AGUGAACGCUGGCGGUAGGCCUAACACAUGCAAGUCGAACGGCAGCACAGUAAGAGCUUGCUCUUACGGGUGGCGAGUGGCGGACGAGUGAGGAAUACAUCGGAAUCUACUUUUUCGUGGGGGAUAACGUAGGGAAACUUACGCUAAUACCGCAUACGACCUACGGGUGAAAGCAGGGGGUCUUCGGACCUUGCGCGAUUGAAUGAGCCGAUGUCGGAUUAGCUAGUUGGCGGGGUAAAGGCCCACCAAGGCGACGAUCCGUAGCUGGUCUGAGAGGAUGAUCAGCCACACUGGAACUGAGACACGGUCCAGACUCCUACGGGAGGCAGCAGUGGGGAAUAUUGGACAAUGGGCGCAAGCCUGAUCCAGCCAUACCGCGUGGGUGAAGAAGGCCUUCGGGUUGUAAAGCCCUUUUGUCGGGAAAGAAAAGCAGCAGGUUAAUACCCCGCUGUUCUGACGGUACCCAAAGAAUAAGCACCGGCUAACUUCGUG
Molecule: ribosomal RNA, 492 nt
Filed under: uncultured bacterium
Lineage: Bacteria
Description: partial 16S ribosomal RNA
Rfam family: Bacterial small subunit ribosomal RNA
Source: RNAcentral